Molecule: ribosomal RNA, 383 nt
Filed under: uncultured eukaryote
Lineage: Eukaryota
Description: partial 18S ribosomal RNA
Rfam family: Eukaryotic small subunit ribosomal RNA
Source: RNAcentral
CAAUAGCGUAUAUUAAAGUUGUUGCAGUUAAAAAGCUCGUAGUUGGAUUUCUGGCGGGAGCGACCGGUCACACACUCUGUGUGUGAACUUGCGUUGUCUCUGGCCAUCCUUGGGAAGAUCCUGUUUGGCAUUAAGUUGUCGGGCAGGGGAUACCCAUCGUUUACUGUGAAAAAAUUAGAGUGUUUAAAGCAGGCUUAUGCCGUUGAAUAUAUUAGCAUGGAAUAAUAAGAUAGGACUUCGGAACUAUUUUGUUGGUUUGCGUUACGAAGUAAUGAUUAAUAGGGACAGUUGGGGGUAUUCGUAUUUCGUUGUCAGAGGUGAAAUUCUUGGAUUUCCGAAAGACGAACUACUGCGAAAGCAUUUACCAAGGAUGUUUUCAUUAA